Molecule: small RNA, 105 nt
Filed under: Klebsiella pneumoniae
Lineage: Bacteria; Pseudomonadati; Pseudomonadota; Gammaproteobacteria; Enterobacterales; Enterobacteriaceae
Description: partial RtT sRNA
Rfam family: RtT RNA
About the family: This family represents a bacterial cis-regulatory element known as RtT RNA. The exact function of RtT is unknown although it is thought that it may be involved in changing the cellular response in relation to amino acid starvation.
Source: RNAcentral
AGCUUCGACUAAGGUUCGACUCGAGCGAAGCGAGAGAACGUUGCCGCAGGCAACGGCCCGAAGGGCGAGGAGCGAUAGCGACGAGUUAUCCUUCCCCCACCACUG